Molecule: ribosomal RNA, 170 nt
Filed under: Candidatus Phytoplasma australiense
Lineage: Bacteria; Bacillati; Mycoplasmatota; Mollicutes; Acholeplasmatales; Acholeplasmataceae
Also listed under: 1 other name
Description: partial 23S ribosomal RNA
Rfam family: Bacterial large subunit ribosomal RNA
Source: RNAcentral
AGAUAAGUGCUGAAAGCAUAUAAGCACGAAACUUGCUCCAAGAUUAAUCUUCCCUGAAACAGAAAUGUUUACUGAAGGGACGUUGAAGACUACAACGUUGAUAGGCUAGAUGUGUAAGCAUAGUGAUGUGUUGAGCUAACUAGUACUAAUGACCCAAGAGGCUUAACCUU